Long non-coding RNA from Daktulosphaira vitifoliae (grape phylloxera), 589 nucleotides. RefSeq lists it as uncharacterized. The record is from RefSeq and is a predicted model, not a curated record. Lineage: Eukaryota; Metazoa; Arthropoda; Insecta; Hemiptera; Phylloxeridae. The transcript is spliced from 2 exons.
UGAACUUUACCAAAAAUUAUUUAACACUUAUAAAAAGUGUUAUCCUGAUAAAAAAUCAACUAUUGUACAAGAAAAUGUCAAUAAGAUUUGGAACGAUUUCAAGUAAAAGUACAAAAAUUAUGGCAAGCAAUUUGAAGUGAAUAUUCAAAAUAAUAUUGAAUCCUUAAAUCAGAAGAUAACUCAGAACACAGCAAGAAAUUUAUCGUUUUUUACAAGUCUUAAGUCACAAAAUACAGUCAAAGAUGGUUCUCAACCGUCAGCGAGUAAAGAAGAUCUUCCAAAAAACAGUCUCUACUGAAAAAAUUUUACCUCGUGAAGAACAAAUAUGCAAUUCAAAAACUGCUACACCCGCCCAAGAUGUAAGCAGAAAAAAAAUUUCAGUUAUGGAAUCAAGCUUAAAUUCACUACUUCUACAAAGAGAUUCUGGAUUGUCUACAUUUGGACUUGAUAAAUAAAUUAAAAAGUUAAAAGAAAAAAUAGAAACUGAAAAAAAAUCUCUCAAGCGUAAUCAAUUAGCUUAACAAAGAUUAUCGAAAUCCCGUGCAACAAAAAAAAAAGCUUGAGGAUGUUUGUCUUGAGCAUCCGGAUG